AAGUCGUAACAAGGUUUCCGUAGGUGAACCUGCGGAAGGAUCAUUAUCACGUAUCCACGUAUAACCAUUGUGAACCGUACUUUUCCCUUUGUCGUGCAUGAGGUCGUGAGAUGAAUAACAUUAAGGGCUAAGUUCUGUAGUGAUUUAUAGCCUGUUAUUCUGUUUCCAUGGAAGAAAAAAUUCGUUUUUUCUAAACAUACUCGUACACUUCAGAGCGUAUUAAAAUUACUAUUUUAUUUGUAUUUAACAAUUCUAAACCCAAUUUUGAACAUUGACUUAACUUUUUCAUACGCUUAGGCGAUGAAAUUCAUUACGAAACAUAAGAACAACUCUUAGCAACGGAUAUCUUGGUUCUC
RNAcentral lists this unclassified non-coding RNA (356 nucleotides) under fungal sp. RNAcentral describes it as "partial internal transcribed spacer region". The stretch from base 1 to 46 matches the Rfam family "Eukaryotic small subunit ribosomal RNA", at positions 1786 to 1831 of the family's 1831-position model. The record is from RNAcentral. Lineage: Eukaryota; Fungi.